RNAcentral lists this small nuclear RNA (103 nucleotides) under Prunus persica (peach). The record is from RNAcentral. Lineage: Eukaryota; Viridiplantae; Streptophyta; Magnoliopsida; Rosales; Rosaceae.
GUCCUUUCGGAGACAUUCGAUAAAGUUGGAACGAUACAGAGAAGAUUAACAUGGCCCUUGAACAAGGAUGACAUGCAUAAAUCGAAAAAUAUCCCAAUUUUUU